CCCUGGCUCUAGCAGCACAGAAAUAUUGGCACUGGGACGAGCCUGCCAAUAUUGGCUGAGCUGCUCCAGGCAGGG
Molecule: microRNA precursor, 75 nt
Filed under: Myotis davidii
Lineage: Eukaryota; Metazoa; Chordata; Mammalia; Chiroptera; Vespertilionidae
Description: mir-16 microRNA precursor family
Rfam family: mir-16 microRNA precursor family
About the family: The hairpin precursors (represented here) are predicted based on base pairing and cross-species conservation -- their extents are not known. In this case the mature sequence is excised from the 5' arm of the hairpin.
Source: Rfam by way of RNAcentral